RNAcentral lists this ribosomal RNA (634 nucleotides) under Flavobacteriia bacterium. RNAcentral's name for it is "bacterial SSU rRNA". It matches the Rfam family "Bacterial small subunit ribosomal RNA", at positions 381 to 1017 of the family's 1533-position model. Lineage: Bacteria; Pseudomonadati; Bacteroidota; Flavobacteriia. The record is from RNAcentral.
GCCUGAUCCGCCAUGCCGCGUGCAGGAUGACGGUCCUAUGGAUUGUAAACUGCUUUUAUACGAGAAGAAACACUGAUUCGUGAAUCAUCUUGACGGUAUCGUAAGAAUAAGGAUCGGCUAACUCCGUGCCAGCAGCCGCGGUAAUACGGAGGAUCCAAGCGUUAUCCGGAAUCAUUGGGUUUAAAGGGUCCGUAGGCGGUUUAAUAAGUCAGUGGUGAAAGCCCAUCGCUCAACGGUGGAACGGCCAUUGAUACUGUUAGACUUGAAUUAUUAGGAAGUAACUAGAAUAUGUAGUGUAGCGGUGAAAUGCUUAGAGAUUACAUGGAAUACCAAUUGCGAAGGCAGGUUACUACUAAUGGAUUGACGCUGAUGGACGAAAGCGUGGGUAGCGAACAGGAUUACAUACCCUGGUAGUCCACGCCGUAAACGAUGGAUACUAGCUGUUGGAAGCAAUUUCAGUGGCUAAGCGAAAGUGAUAAGUAUCCCACCUGGGGAGUACGUUCGCAAGAAUGAAACUCAAAGGAAUUGACGGGGGCCCGCACAAGCGGUGGAGCAUGUGGUUUAAUUCGAUGAUACGCGAGGAACCUUACCAAGGCUUACAUGUAGAUUGACCGUUUUGGAAACAGAACUUUCG